GCGCGACCCUCCCCCGGCCAGGCCCGGCCCGGCCCGGCCCGUGCCCGCGGUCUCUGCCCGGGCUGACGCCCAGGACCGUGGUCGAUGAGAAGCCCCAACAGCACGGCGUGGCCCCUCAGCCUCGGAAGUCUCCAAGGAUCCCCAUGAAAAACCUGCAUUUCCUCUCACGAUUUUGAGGCUGAAAUCAUCUUCCUCCUCCCAGAACACCUAGGUGUUCUAGUCUGAAGCUAUCCUCAUUCUCAACUCCCCUCCUUCAAGCCCUCACCCUGUGCCUGAAUUCUUCCUUCUUUGCUGGGACUGAUGGACAGGAGGAAGACAGGAAGUGGGGGACCCCUUCAACAACUCCUACAGCAGAGGGGAGCCAUGGGAGAUGGGCCGGGAAAUGUAAAGACAAACCCAUGCAGGAAAAAAAGAGAACUUUUUAGCACAGUGUCAUCUGAAAAUGCAAGAGAAGAAAGGCUCUUGGUGGCAACAGAGGAGUGUGACCUCCAUCCUCAGGGCUAGCACCUGACGCCUGUUCUCCAUCCACAUCUGAAAAAUACCACUGGCCCUGAGAAUCCAUUGCAACUGAGGUCCUGCACCCCAACAGCGGCAACUCAAGCUGCCAGCUGAAGCAGAGAGCACUGCCCGCACUGCAGGGUUGUGCCUGCGUACCCCGCUGCCUCCAGGGGUGGCUGCCUUCCUCCAGAGAAUGGACAGCUGAUAUCCUGAGGACAUAGAGAGUUAGUAGGGAUGACUGUAGCCAAUGGCAAAUUCCAUGGAAGAAAAGCCAUUCCCAUCUUCACAAAGAUGAGCAUAGUGAAGGCUGCAGUUUAGUUGGUUUGUGGUUCCCCAGAAGUCUUUCCAACAUUCAGCAGUUGUCCUUCAGUGCCGGGUACGCAGUCCAAUGCUGACUAUAGAGUUGUGAGCAAGACAAGCCUGAAUGUGUGGAGUUUCCUGUCUGAGCCUGAUCCAGGGAUUACCUCCUCCUCCACCACAAUGGACAUUGCCAUAGCCUGAUCCAGGGAUUACCUCCUCCUCCACCACAAUGGACAUUGCCAUGCGUGAUCGCUGCUGUGGCCAUCGUCCUAGUCUGCCUCCUCUUCGUCAUGCUGUACUACAUGUACCGGCACAGGGGCACGUACCACACCAAUGAGGCCAAGGGCACGGAGUUUGCUGAGAGUGCAGAUGCAGCCCUGCAGGGCGACCCUGCCCUCCAAGAUGCUGGUGAUAGCAGCAGAAAGGAGUACUUUAUCUGAGGGACAACAGACUUCACUUUCCUGAAUGCCUCCUCCAGCUCCAUCAGGAAAAAUACACCCCAUCGCCCAGCACCCCUGCUGAUACCACCAGACAGAGAGAGAGCACUUUCUUCUUCCCAAGAUAGGCACCUGGAAACACUAGGUGCCUGCCCAGGGAGGAAUGGAGGAGGACUCGCGCUACAAGAGCCCUCUCCCAGGGACCCAGGGAGGUGAUGGCCACCCAAGAGGCCACCCUUUGCUCCACGGAGGUGGGAGAAAGUCUGGGCACAUGGGGCCCCCUGGGCAGUGCAGAGCAACAUCAGCUCACUGGCAGGAAAGUCCCUGUUGAGGGUGAGGGGGUGCCGGGGUACCCGGGGGCUGGGGAAGCAAGGAAAUAAGUCAUCUGUAUGCUGACUGGGGAUAAUGGCAUCAAAUGUCAGUCCUUGACAUUUGGGAGAACAGCAGGUGCCAGAGCUAAAAGGUACCUUUGUCUCCCAUUGAUCCAGCUCAGAACGAUUGGAAAUAAAUUUGAAAUGUAACCGA
Molecule: small RNA, 1760 nt
Filed under: Pongo abelii (Sumatran orangutan)
Lineage: Eukaryota; Metazoa; Chordata; Mammalia; Primates; Hominidae
Description: processed transcript
Source: RNAcentral